Molecule: ribosomal RNA, 292 nt
Filed under: uncultured bacterium
Lineage: Bacteria
Description: partial 16S ribosomal RNA
Rfam family: Bacterial small subunit ribosomal RNA
Source: RNAcentral
GUGGAUUAGAUACCCUGGUAGUCCUAGCCGUAAACGGUGCAUGUUUGCUGUAAAAGGAAUCGACCCCUUUUGUGGCGGAGCCAACGCGUUAAACAUGCCGCCUGGGAAGUACGGUCGCAAGAUUAAAACUCAAAGAAAUUGACGGGGGCCUGCACAAGCGGUGGAGUAUGUGGCUCAAUUCGAUGCAACGCGAAGAACCUUACCUGGCCUUGACAUGUACGUAGUAGAAGGGUGAAAGCCUGACGAGUUCGCAAGAACAGCGUACACAGGUGCUGCACGGCCGUCGUCAGCU